RNAcentral lists this ribosomal RNA (257 nucleotides) under uncultured bacterium. Its description in RNAcentral is "partial 16S ribosomal RNA". It matches the Rfam family "Bacterial small subunit ribosomal RNA", at positions 524 to 776 of the family's 1533-position model. The record is from RNAcentral.
UACGGGGGGGAGCAAGCGUUGUUCGGAUUUACUGGGCGUAAAGGGCGCGUAGGCGGUCGUGACAAGUCACUUGUGAAAUCUCCGGGCUUAACUCGGAACGGUCAAGUGAUACUGUCGGACUAGAGUACAGAAGGGGGCAACUGGAAUUCUCGGUGUAGCGGUGAAAUGCGUAGAUAUCGAGAGGAACACCUGCGGCGAAGGCGGCCACCUGGAUGGUGACUGACGCUGGAGACGCGAAAGCGUGGGGAGCGAACAGG